This 167-nucleotide ribosomal RNA is filed under the name Festuca sp. Goodrich 22955. Its description in RNAcentral is "5.8S ribosomal RNA". It matches the Rfam family "5.8S ribosomal RNA". Rfam says of the family: 5.8S ribosomal RNA (5.8S rRNA) is a component of the large subunit of the eukaryotic ribosome. It is transcribed by RNA polymerase I as part of the 45S precursor that also contains 18S and 28S rRNA. Functionally, it is thought that 5.8S rRNA may be involved in ribosome translocation. The record is from RNAcentral. Lineage: Eukaryota; Viridiplantae; Streptophyta; Magnoliopsida; Poales; Poaceae.
UCUCGGCAACGGAUAUCUCGGCUCUCGCAUCGAUGAAGAACGUAGCGAAAUGCGAUACCUGGUGUGAAUUGCAGAAUCCCGCGAACCAUCGAGUCUUUGAACGCAAGUUGCGCCCGAGGCCACUUGGCCGAGGGCACGCCUGCCUGGGCGUCACGCCAAACACGCUC